Molecule: ribosomal RNA, 755 nt
Filed under: uncultured marine group I thaumarchaeote
Lineage: Archaea; Thermoproteati; Nitrososphaerota
Description: bacterial SSU rRNA
Rfam family: Archaeal small subunit ribosomal RNA
Source: RNAcentral
AGUCAACCUAACUUAUGGACGGGGAUAACCUCGGGAAACUGAGAAUAAUACCCGAUAGGUCAUGAUGCCUGGAAUGGUUUAUGACUCAAAUAAUUUAUUGCCAUAGGAUGGGACUGCGAGCUAUCAGCUUGUUGGUGAGGUAAUGGCCCACCAAGGCUAUUACAGCUACGGGCUCUGAGAGGAGUAGCCCGGAGAUGGGUACUGAGACAAGGACCCAGGCCCUAUGGGGCGCAGCAGGCGAGAAAACUUUGCAAUGCGCGAAAGCUCGACAAGGUUAAUCUGAGUGGUUCCUGCUAAAGGAACCUUUUGUUAGUCGUAGAACCACUGAUGAAUAAGGGGUGGGCAAGUUCUGGUGUCAGCCGCCGCGGUAAAACCAGCACCUCAAGUGGUCAGGAUGAUUAUUGGGCCUAAAGCAUCCGUAGCCUGUUCUGUAAGUUUUCGGUUAAAUCUAUGCGCUCAACGUAUAGGCUGCCGAAAAUACUGCAGAACUAGGAGUGGGAGAGGUAGACGGUACUCGGUAGGAAGGGGUAAAAUCCUUUGAUCUAUUGAUGACCACCUGUGGCGAAGGCGGUCUACCAGAACACGUUCGACGGUGAGGGAUGAAAGCUGGGGGAGCAAACCGGAUUAGAUACCCGGGUAGUCCCAGCUGUAAACGAUGCAAACUCGAUGAUGCGUUGGCUUGUUGCUAGCGCAGUGUCGCAGGGAAGCCGUUAAGUUUGCCGCCUGGGAAGUACGUACGCAAGUAUGAAACUUAA